UAACAUGAGAGUUUGAUCCUGGCUCAGGAUGAACGCUGGCGGCGUGCCUAACACAUGCAAGUCGAGCGGGGGUGUGCCCUUCGGGGGACACCUUAGCGGCGGACGGGUG
RNAcentral lists this ribosomal RNA (109 nucleotides) under Clostridiales bacterium. RNAcentral describes it as "partial 16S ribosomal RNA". It matches the Rfam family "Bacterial small subunit ribosomal RNA", at positions 1 to 108 of the family's 1533-position model. The record is from RNAcentral. Lineage: Bacteria; Bacillati; Bacillota; Clostridia; Eubacteriales.